CCGGCUGAUGAGACCAAGGCGAAUGUGAUUCAUGCUCUCUGCCCCUUGGCUCCUGGGCUGAGGGCUGCAGAUGAGGUCUGGAAUCUCGGUGGGGACUCUGAGGCCUAGCUCCGCACCUUAAGGCUGGACCCAUAGCACUGCUGGCCUUGCUUUGCCCUUGAGGCUGCUGCUACCCUGGCUCCAGCAGCAGCCUGCAGGAAGGCCCACAGGCAGGGCUGCAGGUGGGGUGGGCAGAAGCCAUGUGAGCACAGCUUGGAUCUGACG
Molecule: small nucleolar RNA, 264 nt
Organism: Octodon degus (degu)
Lineage: Eukaryota; Metazoa; Chordata; Mammalia; Rodentia; Octodontidae
Source: Ensembl